This 425-nucleotide ribosomal RNA is filed under the name uncultured bacterium. RNAcentral describes it as "partial 16S ribosomal RNA". It matches the Rfam family "Bacterial small subunit ribosomal RNA", at positions 354 to 796 of the family's 1533-position model. The record is from RNAcentral.
GUGGGGAAUAUUGGACAAUGGGCGCAAGCCUGAUCCAGCCAUGCCGCGUGAGUGAUGAAGGCCUUAGGGUUGUAAAGCUCUUUCAGUAGGGAAGAUAAUGACGGUACCUACAGAAGAAGCCCCGGCUAACUUCGUGCCAGCAGCCGCGGUAAUACGAAGGGGGCUAGCGUUGUUCGGAUUUACUGGGCGUAAAGCGCACGUAGGCGGAUCGUUAAGUCGAGGGUGAAAUCCUGGAGCUCAACUCCAGAACUGCCUUCGAUACUGGCGAUCUUGAGUCCGGAAGAGGUGAGUGGAACUCCUAGUGUAGAGGUGGAAUUCGUAGAUAUUAGGAAGAACACCAGUGGCGAAGGCGGCUCACUGGUCCGGUACUGACGCUGAGGUGCGAAAGCGUGGGGAGCAAACAGGAUUAGAAACCCCGGUAGUCC